RNAcentral lists this unclassified non-coding RNA (154 nucleotides) under Paracremonium binnewijzendii. RNAcentral's name for it is "partial internal transcribed spacer 2". The record is from RNAcentral. Lineage: Eukaryota; Fungi; Ascomycota; Sordariomycetes; Hypocreales; Nectriaceae.
CAACCCUCAAGCCCCCGGGCUUGGUGCUGGGGAUCGGCCGUCACGGGCCGGCCCCGAAAUCGAGUGGCGGUCUCGCUGUAGCCUCCUCUGCGUAGUAGCAACACCUCGCACUGGAACGCGGCGCGGCCACGCCGUAAAACCCCCAACUUCUGAA